GACGAACGCUGGCGGCGUGCUUAACACAUGCAAGUCGAACGGAAAGGCCCUGCUUUUGUGGGGUGCUCGAGUGGCGAACGGGUGAGUAACACGUGAGUAACCUGCCCUUGACUUUGGGAUAACUUCAGGAAGCUGGGGCUAAUACCGGAUAGGAGCUCCCGCUGCAGGGUGGGGGUUGGAAAGUUUCGGCGGUUGGGGAUGGACUCGCGGCUUAUCAGCUUGUUGGUGGGGUAGUGGCUUACCAAGGCUUUGACGGGUAGCCGGCCUGAGAGGGUGACCGGCCACAUUAGGACUGAGAUACGGCCCAGACUCCUACGGGAGGCAGCAGUGGGGUAUAUUACACAAUGGGCGGGAGCCUGAUGCAGCAACGCCGCGUGCGGGAUGACGGCCUUCGGGUUGUGAACCGCUUUCGCCUGUGACGAAGCGUGAGUGACGGUAAUGGGUGAAGAAGCACCGGCUAACUACGUG
This 468-nucleotide ribosomal RNA is filed under the name uncultured bacterium. Its description in RNAcentral is "partial 16S ribosomal RNA". It matches the Rfam family "Bacterial small subunit ribosomal RNA", at positions 28 to 507 of the family's 1533-position model. The record is from RNAcentral.